GGCUGAAACUACGCCUACAUGAAGCUGGAGUUGCUAGUAAUCGCGAAUCAGCAUGUCGCGGUGAAUACGUUCCCGGGCCUUGUACACACCGCCCGUCACACCAUGAGAGUUGGCAAUACCCAACGUACGUGAUCUAACCCGCAAGGGAGGAAGCGUCCUAAGGUAGGGUCAGCGAUUGGGGUGAAGUCGUAACAAGGUACC
This 201-nucleotide ribosomal RNA is filed under the name uncultured bacterium. RNAcentral's name for it is "partial 16S ribosomal RNA". It matches the Rfam family "Bacterial small subunit ribosomal RNA", at positions 1303 to 1500 of the family's 1533-position model. The record is from RNAcentral.